RNAcentral lists this ribosomal RNA (388 nucleotides) under Escherichia coli. RNAcentral describes it as "partial 23S ribosomal RNA". It matches the Rfam family "Bacterial large subunit ribosomal RNA", at positions 795 to 1180 of the family's 2925-position model. The record is from RNAcentral. Lineage: Bacteria; Pseudomonadati; Pseudomonadota; Gammaproteobacteria; Enterobacterales; Enterobacteriaceae.
AAUUAGCGGAUGACUUGUGGCUGGGGGUGAAAGGCCAAUCAAACCGGGAGAUAGCUGGUUCUCCCCGAAAGCUAUUUAGGUAGCGCCUCGUGAAUUCAUCUCCGGGGGUAGAGCACUGUUUCGGCAAGGGGGUCAUCCCGACUUACCAACCCGAUGCAAACUGCGAAUACCGGAGAAUGUUAUCACGGGAGACACACGGCGGGUGCUAACGUCCGUCGUGAAGAGGGAAACAACCCAGACCGCCAGCUAAGGUCCCAAAGUCAUGGUUAAGUGGGAAACGAUGUGGGAAGGCCCAGACAGCCAGGAUGUUGGCUUAGAAGCAGCCAUCAUUUAAAGAAAGCGUAAUAGCUCACUGGUCGAGUCGGCCUGCGCGGAAGAUGUAACGGGG